UGCAACAGUUAGGCCAUACACAUGGCAGUAAAUUGCAGUAAUUUUUUUGAAAUAUAAACAGCAUAUGCCAUACCUGAUAUGUCCACAGUGAAUUCUGUUUGUUUCACUCCACACUUUGUUUGCACAAAGAAGCUGAAUUUUUCUGUCAUUGCUGUAGUUGUAGUGUAGCGGCAUGUGAAGCUGUUACUCUGUUCACAGGAGUCAUUAAGAAGCUCUUGUUCACAGAUGACUGAGUCAGUAGGGUAUCGAAACUUACACAUUUUAAUGGAACAAUCAGGGCACUGCAGUGAGAUGUUGCAGGUGAGAGUUACUUCUUUCCCCACAGAUCCAGUCACAUCAUCACAGCUUACACUGAUCUUUAUCAGCUUGACAGACAGCAGUAAAGCUCCAAACCAGAAAGAACAGUUGCACAGCAUUUACAGCAUUCAUGGUUGUAAUUCUGC
Molecule: long non-coding RNA, 443 nt
Organism: Cyprinus carpio carpio
Lineage: Eukaryota; Metazoa; Chordata; Actinopteri; Cypriniformes; Cyprinidae
Source: Ensembl